Molecule: ribosomal RNA, 229 nt
Filed under: uncultured bacterium
Lineage: Bacteria
Description: partial 16S ribosomal RNA
Rfam family: Bacterial small subunit ribosomal RNA
Source: RNAcentral
UGCGCAGGCGGGACUAUAAGUCAGUGGUGAAAUCCUACAGCUUAACUGUAGACCUGCCAUUGAAACUAUAGUUCUUGAGUACAGUUGUAGUGGGCGGAAUGUGUCAUGUAGCGGUGAAAUGCAUAGAGAUGACACAGAACACCGAUCGCGAAGGCAGCUCACUAAGCUGAAACUGACGCUCAGGCACGAAAGCGUGGGUAGCAAACAGGAUUAGAUACCCUGGUAGUCC